Molecule: ribosomal RNA, 90 nt
Filed under: Candidatus Pelagibacteraceae bacterium
Lineage: Bacteria; Pseudomonadati; Pseudomonadota; Alphaproteobacteria; Candidatus Pelagibacterales; Candidatus Pelagibacteraceae
Source: RNAcentral
UACCCGAUCCCAUUCCGAACUCGGAAGUCAAGCCCUUCAGCGCCGAUGGUACUUUAUCUUAAGGUAUGGGAGAGUAGGACGUUGCCAGGC